UCGAGAAUUUUUUUCAAUGGGGGAAACCCUGAAGGAGCGACGCCGCGUGGAGGAUGAAGGUUUUCGGAUUGUAAACUCCUGUCAUCCGGGAGCAAUGCUAUGUUGUUAACUGCGAUAUAGUUGAUAGUACCGGAAGAGGAAGAGACGGCUAACUCUGUGCCAGCAGCCGCGGUAAUACAGAGGUCUCAAGCGUUGUUCGGAUUUAUUGGGCGUAAAGGGUGCGUAGGCGGCGAGGUAAGUCUGGUGUGAAAUCCUGGGGCUCAACCCCAGAAUUGCACUGGAUACUGCUUUGCUAGAGGACUGGAGAGGAGAUUGGAAUUCACGGUGUAGCAGUGAAAUGCGUAGAUAUCGUGAGGAAGACCAGUGGCGAAGGCGAAUCUCUGGACAGUUCCUGACGCUGAGGCACGAAGGCUAGGGGAGCAAACGG
This 427-nucleotide ribosomal RNA is filed under the name uncultured bacterium. RNAcentral describes it as "bacterial SSU rRNA". It matches the Rfam family "Bacterial small subunit ribosomal RNA", at positions 355 to 775 of the family's 1533-position model. The record is from RNAcentral.